UACCUGUCGGUUCCGUUCUCAGAGGGACGGACGGAGUUAACCCGGAAGCGCCUGCGCUUUGAUUGAACUGGGGCGUCGUGAAUGUAAAAUUCAUUUUGAAUAGUUGAUAGAGGGUAUCGUGUGGGUUAUAUUAUAAAGUAAUGGAUGGUUUAGGUUACGUUUGUCUGGCGAUAAACAUUUUACACUUCCUUUUUUUUUUUUUUUUUUUUUUUUUAAGAUACUAUCCGAGGAAAGGGGAAUAUUGAUUCACCCCCUGCUCGGUUACAAAUAACUUCCUAAAUGUAUUGUCAAUUUGUCUGUUUCAGAACCUCUAGAUUCCAUGCGGGUAAUAUCAAAAUACAUGUCCCUAACGAAAAGGUUCGUGCAGUGGUAAAAUGAUAGGAUUCAGCCCGAUAACUCUUUCAGCAAUAUUUUUGUUUGCUCUGAGCGUGACGGGCCAAAGUAAACAAGGAGCAAGAAUAUGAAAAAUCCUUCCUCCGUGGGGUAUUUCACAUGAGUCCUGCCUUAUCUGUGAGCGGCAAGAACCUCAGCCCGCAAUGCAAGAUCGACUUUCAAGAGUUCACGCGGGAUCUCCAACAACUGAAGUAUUGGGCUUUUCAAAUGCACGACUCAACGGGAAAACCCAACUCAGGGAUGCUGAACGGGAACCUGCACUCUUACGGGGACUACGAAACAGUGCCUGGAGGUCUCGCAUCCUCGCAUUAAGGGCAAGUACUGUCUCCUGGGUUUCGACGUGGACUUCCACCCUAAGUCAACGUACAGGGGCAACGUCCGAUAUCUCCUCGAGGGCGCCUACGCGGACUACGUCUGGUAUGGCCCCAACCAUAAUGCGCCAGGCGGGCGAUCGCCCCCUCAAAGAAAAAUUCUAUGGGGCUUCUGUAUACCUGCUUCUUGUGACGUUGAUGAUUUGCAAAAUGGUUUGCGACAAAUUUUGGCACCUCUCAACUCCACUGAUCACGGACUUGAAAUAAGGAUGUUCACGAUGGGCGAUUCUUGCACUACAGAAGAGAGCAAAGUUUCACCGCCACGCUCAUAUUUUGUCAUGUGAGUUUACGCUUAAAAUCAUUUUAAUUUUUGAGCGCUCGCUUUGAGUCUUCAACUACUAAGGUAAUUCAUUUCAAAUGUAUGUAUCAUGCAUCAUAAAAGUCGCUCCUAAAACACACUCUGGCGUGCUGCGACAUCCAAAUGCCACAUGUGCCUAGUUUCGCGAAGGUUAUUGGACAACUGCAACUGGCAACGCAAUAUGUGUCGCCAAAUAUGAAUCGCCUUCAAAAAGAAGCUAAUGCAACAAGCGAAA
This 1297-nucleotide long non-coding RNA is filed under the name Bemisia tabaci. RNAcentral describes it as "lncRNA ENSSWEETPG004544". Lineage: Eukaryota; Metazoa; Arthropoda; Insecta; Hemiptera; Aleyrodidae. The record is from RNAcentral.